Molecule: microRNA precursor, 206 nt
Organism: Oryza sativa Japonica Group (Japanese rice)
Lineage: Eukaryota; Viridiplantae; Streptophyta; Magnoliopsida; Poales; Poaceae
Rfam family: MIR812 microRNA precursor family
Source: Rfam
AAAGACUCAAUUCGUAGAUUUUCGUGUCUAAUAUUUGACCAUCCGUUUUAUAUGAAAUUUUUUAUGAUUAGUAUUUUUAUUACUGUUAGAUGAUAAAACAUGAAUAAUACUUUAUGCAUGACUUAUCUUUUUAAUUUUUUUCAUAAUUUUUUCAAAUAAAACGAACAGUCAAACGUUAGACACGGAAACUCAGGAAUUGAGUUUUU